Priapulus caudatus is the source of this 106-nucleotide long non-coding RNA. RefSeq lists it as uncharacterized. NCBI's taxonomy places the organism in Eukaryota, Metazoa, Priapulida, Priapulimorpha, Priapulimorphida, Priapulidae. The record is from RefSeq and is a predicted model, not a curated record. The transcript is spliced from 3 exons.
AUGCUAGGUAGCUCAGUGUCAGUGAUGAGGGUGGAUGCGAUGGAUAGCAUGCUAGGUAGGCUCAGUGUCAAUGAUGAGGGUGGAUGGAUGGAUAGCAUGCUAGGUA